This 497-nucleotide ribosomal RNA is filed under the name uncultured bacterium. RNAcentral's name for it is "partial 16S ribosomal RNA". It matches the Rfam family "Bacterial small subunit ribosomal RNA", at positions 28 to 507 of the family's 1533-position model. The record is from RNAcentral.
GAUGAACGCUGGCGGCGUGCCUAAUACAUGCAAGUCGAGCGAACAGACGAGGAGCUUGCUCCUCUGACGUUAGCGGCGGACGGGUGAGUAACACGUGGAUAACCUACCUAUAAGACUGGGAUAACUUCGGGAGACCGGAGCUAAUACCGGAUAAUAUAUUGAACCGCAUGGUUCAAUAGUGAAAGACGGUUUUGCUGUCACUUAUAGGUGGAUCCGCGCCGCAUUAGUUAGUUGGUAAGGUAACGGCUUACCAAGGCAACGAUGCGUAGCCGACCUGAGAGGGUGAUCGGCCACACUGGAACUGAGACACGGUCCAGACUCCUACGGGAGGCAGCAGUAGGGAAUCUUCCGCAAUGGGCGAAAGCCUGACGGAGCAACGCCGCGUGAGUGAUGAAGGUCUUCGGAUCGUAAAACUCUGUUAUUAGGGAAGAACAAAUGUGUAAGUAACUAUGCACGUCUUGACGGUACCUAAUCAGAAAGCCACGGCUAACUACGUG